This 506-nucleotide ribosomal RNA is filed under the name uncultured bacterium. Its description in RNAcentral is "partial 16S ribosomal RNA". It matches the Rfam family "Bacterial small subunit ribosomal RNA", at positions 28 to 523 of the family's 1533-position model. The record is from RNAcentral.
GAUGAACGCUAGCUACAGGCUUAACACAUGCAAGUCGAGGGGUAACGAGAGGAAAGCUUGCUUUCCUUGUCGACGACCGGCGCACGGGUGAGUAACGCGUAUCCAACCUGCCCCCAACUAGGGAAUAACCUUGCGAAAGUAAGACUAAUACCCUAUAAUUUCCUCAGAUGUCAUCUGACGAGGAAUAAAGAUUGAUCGGUUGGGGAUGGGGAUGCGUCUGAUUAGCUUGUUGGCGGGGUAACGGCCCAACAAGGCAACGAUCAGUAGGGGUUCUGAGAGGAAGGUCCCCCACAUUGGAACUGAGACACGGUCCAAACUCCUACGGGAGGCAGCAGUGAGGAAUAUUGGUCAAUGGGCGGAAGCCUGAACCAGCCAAGUAGCGUGCAGGAUGACGGCCCUAUGGGUUGUAAACUGCUUUUAUACAGGAAUAAAGUUAGCCACGUGUGGUUAUUUGUAGGUACUGUAUGAAUAAGGACCGGCUAAUUCCGUGCCAGCCGCCGCCGUAA